GAAUUAUAACAAUAUAAUAACAUAUAUAUAUGUAUAAAGCAAGUUUUAAUUCAAACUUGUACCAUAGAGUGAAUUUUGUCAUUUCAUCUUGUAUUUGAAUGUCAAAAUUAUUAUGCAAUUUUACCUUUGAACUUAGUUUCAAAAUUGUUGUUUCAUUAUCAAUGGCUAUAUGAAAAUUGCAAAUGACGGAUGAAAGUAAACUAAUAGUCUCAAGUGAGGUAUUUUGCAAAAUUAAAAUUGAACUACUACUCAAUAAACUGCUGAAUACAUAAAUUCCAUUUCAAAUUGAACAAACUUUAUCAGUUAAGAACCCAAAAAUUAAAUCCACACAUCCCGAAAUUCUAAAAAAGAAAUCCUGGAUCCCAAAAGGUCAAUCCCUAAAUCCAGAGCUUAAAAACACCCAAUAAAAAUCCUAUCCCCCCUCUUAGGAGCCAGAACUGUAAUUUGGAAAAAUAAUAAAUGAAUGCUGACUGUGUUAGUGAGGUAACAACUAAAACAAGGUACAAAAAUAUGGGGAAAUUAUUUGAAUGAAAUAUGUCUUAUGAUACAAAGACAAAGGUGUACAAUUCAUUGAAGGUCUAAAAAAACAUGGAUUUCAAGUUCUAUUGGUUUAUUAUUAUUUGUGAGAUAUCCAUUUUCAGGGAUUUCAUGGAUGCAUGUGAACCAAUACCAAUAAUUUAUAUGUUGAACACAGUGAAAUUUUACAAAGGCUUCUAUGCAGACUUUUGUAAAACUACAAAAUAAAUUAUCCACAAUUUUUUUUCUCUCCCUUAACCCACAAAAAUCGCUACAUAGGAAAAUAAAUGAAUCUAUAGCAAGAGUUAAUUCUCAUUAAUCCACAAAUUGACAAAUUCUCAUUAAUCCACAAA
RNAcentral lists this long non-coding RNA (869 nucleotides) under Mytilus galloprovincialis (Mediterranean mussel). Lineage: Eukaryota; Metazoa; Mollusca; Bivalvia; Mytilida; Mytilidae. The record is from RNAcentral.